GGCGCUAUAGCCAAGUGGUAAGGCAAAGGACUGCAACUCCUUGACCCCCGGUCCGAAUCCGGGUGGCGCCU
RNAcentral lists this transfer RNA (71 nucleotides) under Ruminococcus sp. CAG:353. It matches the Rfam family "tRNA". Rfam says of the family: Transfer RNA (tRNA) molecules are approximately 80 nucleotides in length. Lineage: Bacteria; Bacillati; Bacillota; Clostridia; Eubacteriales; Oscillospiraceae. The record is from Rfam by way of RNAcentral.